RNAcentral lists this unclassified non-coding RNA (336 nucleotides) under soil metagenome. RNAcentral describes it as "partial contains 5.8S ribosomal RNA, internal transcribed spacer 2, and large subunit ribosomal RNA". The stretch from base 1 to 120 matches the Rfam family "5.8S ribosomal RNA", at positions 35 to 154 of the family's 154-position model. The record is from RNAcentral.
GAUGAAGAACGUAGCGAAAUGCGAUAAGUAAUGUGGAUUGCAGAAUUCAGUGAAUCAUCGAAUCUUUGAACGCACAUUGCGCCCGCCAGUAUUCUGGCGGGCAUGCCUGUUCGAGCGUCAUUUCAACCAUCAAGCCCCAGGCUUGUGUUGGGGACCUGCGGCUGCCGCAGGCCCUGAAAACCAGUGGCGGGCUCGCUGUCACACCGGGCGUAGUAGAUUUUAUCUCGCUCAGGGCGUGCUGCGGGUUCCGGCCGUUAAAAAGCCUUUUUUACCCAAGGUUGACCUCGGAUCAGGUAGGAAGACCCGCUGAACUUAAGCAUAUCAAUAAGCGGAGGA